Molecule: long non-coding RNA, 361 nt
Organism: Penaeus monodon (black tiger shrimp)
Lineage: Eukaryota; Metazoa; Arthropoda; Malacostraca; Decapoda; Penaeidae
Exons: 3
Source: RefSeq, a predicted model, not a curated record
GGUUUGCACAGUGCUGCGGGCCAAAAACAAGUCCAACUAUUAUGUGUGACUUAGCAAUACACUCACAGACAUACUGGCUGACUGCAUACUCUCAGUGUGUGGAUGCCAGCUAGUGUGUGAGGCUCUAGCGUCACUUGGAGGAAGUCGAGCAGAUGUACUCGCCCCACAUCUUCUUCCAAUCUUAAAACCCUCAUCCAGAAAUUCACUCAUGAUGCUCCUCUCAAUACACACAAAACAAAACUUAUGGGCACAUUAGUAACAUUAGUGAUGCAAAUGUUUCAUGGUCAUGUGUGGUCCAGCCAAGCUGAGGCUGCUGUUGUGGCAGCUAGUAAAUGUGUACAUUUAUGGGCUGCUUUCUGUA